Pelodiscus sinensis (Chinese soft-shelled turtle) is the source of this 3528-nucleotide non-coding RNA. NCBI's taxonomy places the organism in Eukaryota, Metazoa, Chordata, Testudines, Trionychidae. The record is from RefSeq and is a predicted model, not a curated record.
GCGGAGCUGGACGGCCGAGAAAACCGGCACGCUGUUGGAAGGGGAGGAGCCCUGGGCGGCGUCCGGUGCGGCUUGGCCAAUUUAAAAAGGCUCACCGCCAGCGAGGGAGGGGGCAGUCUCCUCGCAGAGAGGGAGGAGAGCCCCCGAGCGCAGGAUGGACCCCGAGCAGCACCGAGGCCGGCAGACGGCCCGGCCUCAAUCUACGGGUUCUCAGGACGGGCACCACUGCCGGUGAGUCCCGGCUCAGACGGUGACUGGACUCCACCCCGCUGGCCCUGGAAGGAGCGGCCUGGCAGGGACCGGACUUGGCGGAGAGAACAGACUCCCGGGGCCUCAUCAGAGCGACACUGGACCCCGACUCCAGAACCGAGGCAGGCUUUGAGAACUGGGGCGGCAGAAUGAAGGGGAAGGAGUUCGAGUGACAGAGCUAUGGAUCCACAACAGCUGUUGGACUGGGUGGGAGAAACCUAGCGCCAGCAACAGCAGCAGCAAGCCCAGAUGAUCCAGCAACUAGCUACACAAUUCCAGGACCAGCAUACCUAAUGACAUUCGAACGAGUGGCCACUGCAGCAAGAUGGCCAGAGCGCCAUUGGGCCACCUUGUUGGCUCCCUAUCUAACGGGGCCUGCACAAAUGGCUUACUGAGGCUUGGCGACCCAGGAUGCACUGCAGUAUGGGAAAGUAAAAGAAGCCAUCCUGGACCAGCUGGGAAUAACCAGCGACACCUAUCGGCAGAGAUUUCGUCGCGAGCGGUUUAAACCCGGAGAACGGCCCCGGGCUUUCGCGCAGUGGCUGCACGAAUGGGCAUGGCGCUGGUUGGAGCCUGAGCAACGCUCCGGCACUGAGGCGGUCAUCCUCGAGCAGUACGUGCACCUUCUAGCCCAGGAAGCACAGAAGUGGGUCCGGAGGCACCAGCCCACAACGGUGGCCGAGGCUCUCUCGUUCAUUGAAGCCCAUCUGAACGUGGAAGGAGGUGAGGUGGGUGAACGGUGCGAGUCAAUGCUCGGCCCCCCCGAGGGAUGCACCAUGGGAAUGAGGGGGCGGGCCAGCCCCACCCAAGAGCACCCCUAGGCCUACCUUUGGGGGAGGGCGCCGGUUAGCUCCAGUGUGGCCCAGCAAGCCUGGGGACAGCUACCAGGAGACGAAAAGGGAGGCUGAAGAGAAAGCAGGGGAGGGCCGCAGGAUGGGGAUCCGGAAUGCUUGCUACCAGUGUGGGCAGGAAGGGCAUUUCAAAUGAGACUGUCCUCAAAUGGAUUGCACCAUAAGUCAGGCAACCCAGGGAGGACAUCCGCCAACCCCGCCUGAACAGCCACGACCAACAGUGACCAUGUGGCUCAGACAGAAGCUCAUGAAGGCCCUCAUGGACUCCGGCUCUGCGCUUACCUUAAUCCACGAGGACCUUAUUCCCGACACCCCGGCCACCGGGGAAACCGUCUGGAUGAAGUGCAUACACGGGGAUGUAAGAGCCUACCCCAUCAUGUGGGUACACCUGGCGGACGGCCAGCUGGCAAAGAUAUGGCGAGUGGGGAAAGCACCCGUGCUGCCAUGCCCGAUAGUGCUGGGAAGGGAUUGGCCCGGGUUCUCUAGGCUGCUCCAGGGAGGCGCCGGCGCAUCCGGGGGACAGCGACUGAGGGAGCAGGCACCCGUGACCGAAGGCUAUGUCCACCCACGGACCCCAGAAGAGCCUGACGGGAGAUGAACGACCCCCUUGGUGGGACACCCCAGGGAUGGGCUAGCAGGCGCCCCGGAUUUUCUGGAGGAACAACGGGGAGAUGAGACCUUGAGAUACGCUUGGGAGCAAACAGGAGGCCUGGAGGAGAUCGAAGGGGGCCAUCAGGGACCAUGAUUCCAGAUAAUAGAGGACCGGUUGUAUCGACUGACGGGGGCCGGGGAAGGGGAAGAAGGGUGAAGGCAGCUGGUGGUUCCCCAGGGCCAGCACAGAAAGGUCCUAGACCUGGCCCAUAUGAACCCCUGGUCAGGGCAUUUGGGACAUGAAAAGACGCUGGCCCGAGUCUUGCAGCGUUUUAUUGGCCCGGAGUCUAUAGGGCAGUGCGGGACUUUUGCACCUCCUGCCCCAACUGCCAGAAGCUCUCCUCGGGUAGGGUGCCUUUGGCCCCCCCUUGUACCCCUCCCCAUCGUCAGCGUUCCCUUUGAGAGGAUAGCUCUGGAUUUGGUGGGGCCCCUGGUACCCUCCCGGCUGGGGUAUCGGUUCAUGCUAGUCAUCAUCGACUAUGCCACCAGGUACCCAGAGGCUGUGCCAUUGUGCAAUACUAAGUCCCCGACCCUAGCCUCCGAAUUAAUCAAAAUCUUUGCGAGGGUGGGAUUCCCCAAAGCCAUUUUAACCGACCAGGGCACGAAUGUAACCUCUCAGUUGAUGAAAGAACGGUGUGCCCUGUUGCAGAUAAAAACAUUCCGAACGUCCGUAUACCACCCCCAGCCGGACGGGCUAGUGGAGCGGUUUAACCGCACCUUGAAGGAGAUGCUCAGAUUGGUUGUACAAGAAGGCCCAUGGGACUGGGAUCAGAUGCUACCAGCCCUCUUGUUUGCCAUCCGGGAGGUGCCCCAGGCCUCCCCGGAAUUCUCCCCGUUCGAACUAUUGUAUGGGUGCCAGCCGUGGGGAAUUUUAGAUUUCCAGAAGAGGACUGGGAAACACAGAACACCUGGUGCCAGGGCACGGUGCAGUACAUUCUGCAACGCCGCGAGCGGCUGCAGCGGGUUGGGGCAUAUGCCUCUUAAAGGCUCAGACCAGACAGGCCCAUUACUAUAACCGAAUGGCCAUGGCCCGCCAUUUCGAGCCGGGGGAUCAAGUGCUGCUGCUCUUGCCCACCAAGGAGUCCAAGCUCUUCGCGGAAUGGCAGGGACCUUAUGAGGUGAUCCGCAAGGUAGGAGAUGUAGAUUAUGAGAUCCGCCUCUCGGGAAAAUGGAGGGAUACGCAGAUCUUCCACGUUAACCUCCUUAAGAAGUGGGUGGCAAGGGAAGGGCUCCUGGUGGCACCCGUGAAAUGCGAAGAGGAUUUAGGCCCGUCCCGGGAGGAUUGCGCAGAGGAAGGCUAGUUAUUAUCCCUGGGACCUGAACUCUUGGAAGAACAGCGGCAGCAGAUGGAAGUACUCCUACGGCGGUUCUGCCGCAUCUUGACAGCAGCCCCAGGAACGGCAAAGACGCGUCCGAGUGCGGACUAGGAGAAGUCCUGGACCAGGAGUACAACGGCAAGGAGCAUCCAGUCCUGUACCUUAGCCAGAAGCUCCUACCCCGAGAAAAGAAUUACGCGACUGUCGAGAAAGAGGCAUUGGCCAUGAAAUGGGCCAUAGAGAUGUUGAGGUACAACAACUUGUGGGGAAAUAAAUUUAAGCUGGUUACGGACCACGCACCUUUAGUCUGUCUGAAUUCCAUGAAAAAUUCUAACCCCCGCUUUACGCGGUGGUACAUGUCACUGCAGCAACUAUCAAUUUGAAAUAGAGUACUGAGCGGGGGCAAAGCAUCAGAACACUGACUUUUUUUUUCCCACGGGUGUUCGAGCAAAACGAGGAGG